Long non-coding RNA from Oenanthe melanoleuca, 2225 nucleotides. RefSeq lists it as uncharacterized. The transcript is spliced from 3 exons. The record is from RefSeq and is a predicted model, not a curated record. Lineage: Eukaryota; Metazoa; Chordata; Aves; Passeriformes; Muscicapidae.
GCUCUCCCCGGCCGCAGGUACACGCUGCCCGCGCUCGCUCCCGCCCGUGGCUAUGGUUUUGUGUUGGUGCUGUCAGCGUUCGUCGAGCUAUAAACAUGGCAUGUGGGGCUGCAAGGUGUUGCUUGUCUUCUGGAGACUGACAUCAUGGGCCAUGGUGAUGGCUGGUGGCCUUGAGGGGUGAUCAGUGCCUGAACAUCAUCCUGGCUUCCUAAAAACACAUGCUGGGAAUGCUGCUAAACUGCACGGUGAGGAUUGUCUCUCUGCACAUGUGCUCUGCACAGGCAAAGAUCCACUGAGCCACAGGAGGUCACAUCAUGCACCAGCAGUCAGCUGUGAUUUUGAGUGAGAACAGAAGGAUGGCUGUGACCCCUGGGAGCUGUGAGUGAGAUGGGACACUGCCAUGGGGGUGGUGACAGGAUUGUCACUCUGGGGCCGUGGCACCUGACCCUGACAAUUUCCCCAGACCCUUGCAGACAAGCUUUACAAGCAGAAAUGGCUCCUUGCAACUCUUGUCGUUGUGGCAAGGAGAGGAGGAUUAGUGGUGAGAGUGGCUGAAAAGUACCUGAAGAAAAAUGGAAAACUUCCCAGGAAAGGCACUGGUGUGAUUCCUGCUUAUCUGGAAACUGAAUUUGUCCUGGUAGGUCCAAGGGAAGAACAAUGCUCUUGGUGCUGCUCCUGCUGCACCUGAGGUCUCACCUCAGCCCACCCAAAGAUAUCUUGUCUCCCUACAGACAACAGGCUCUUCUGGGUGGGUGACCUGUCAGAGCUACUCAUUCUGCAAACCAUCAGAGCUGGGUGGAGACCUUACCUUUGUGUCUCUACUUUACUGUGUGAUUAAAGGUGACAGCAACUCUCCUUCCCUCUGCUUACUGAAUUAGUAGACCUCAGGGCUGGGGGGAGCUGGGACCAGGAGCAGCAGGAAGGCCAGAUGGAGCAGAGGAACAAGGGCAGAGGCCAUAGAUACCAAACUUGGAGGUGCUGGGGCUGGCAGCAGCACUUCAGAGAGGAGAGAUGCAAUAAAAGGAGGAAACACCCACCACGUUUUAGGCUUUGGUCUGACCCACGCAGUGCCUGGAGACAAAUAAGCUAACAAAACACAACACACCCUUCUCCUUCCAGGUUUGCCCUGGGUUGAGCUGGUAUCUUUGUUCCUAUAUGAGGAAUGUUUUUUGUUCGGCUCUGGUUGUUUUGCUGGAUCUGUAGUGCAUUAAACAGCCCAUCUUCUGGUUUGUAUUUUUUCCAGUUAUCGUGUUUCAUGUAUUCUGGCUCCUUCCAGCCAGCUCUGUAUCCCCCCGAGCAGAAACUAAGCAGUAUCCAGUCCUUGAGCUUGCUGCCUUCAUAUGCACAAAAGGGAUAUGGACUCACAUCCCACAUUUCUUUGCUGAGCUGUGGGAAUAUCUGCAGCAGGGACUCACACCUUGCUCUGCUUUCAGCCUAUCACCUAGAUCAGGUUACCACAGCUGAACAUUGCGGGCUCAGGGAUGGUAUAUGCUGCCAUGCCACUUCACAUCACCUCUCUACAAGCUGGCUUCUGAAGUCAGUCUGGACCAUCCAAGGUUUGUGCUUAUUUUUCAUACCAUUCAGAUUUUGAUGAUGGCACAAUAGAGCAGCACGUGUAAGAGUGGGGGAUGGCUUGUUGGUACCCCAACAGUCACUAGGCUUUGCAGGGUCCUUGUGCCCAAUCCUGAACACUUUCCCCUUCAGUUUUCCUGUUGAUCUUUCCCUGCCCACUUUGAGGAGCAAGUGGUGUGUGUGGGUGGGCUGGGAGUCUCCCUGCUGGCAGUGAUUAUCCAGCAGCACCUCGGGGGGAGGCAGGGGAGCCAGUGGCUGAUCCUGCUGGGCUGGAUGCACGCCUGCACCGUCCCAGCGCCCGGCGAUGCACACGCACAGCUCAUGGCACAGGCUUCUGUCACCAAAACCUGUCUGCAGGAAAGCCUGUCUGCACAACCCGGCCAGAAAGAAAGGCAUGACAGCACAAUUAGUGAGAGCAAAUGAAAGGCUGUUUGAAGAGGAGAGGGGAGGAAAGGGGAGAGCUGCAUAAAUCCCUGGUGGGGUCUUGGGCUUGACAUCAAAACCCCUUAACAGUGUAUUACUUCAGCCCCCAAUGUGGACAGAUGUUGAGCUGUGGCUCAAAGGAAGUCAGAAAUCUUUCCUUAGAAAAAAUUUGGCUAGGAAACUAAAGAAAAUAUUGUGAAAGAAAAGGAAAUAAAAGCCCACUAAAGAAG